Molecule: ribosomal RNA, 484 nt
Filed under: uncultured bacterium
Lineage: Bacteria
Description: partial 16S ribosomal RNA
Rfam family: Bacterial small subunit ribosomal RNA
Source: RNAcentral
AUUGAACGCUGGCGGCAUGCCUUACACAUGCAAGUCGAACGGCAGCACGGGAGUAAUCCUGGUGGCGAGUGGCGAACGGGUGAGUAAAGCAUCGGAACGUGCCCAGUCGUGGGGGAUAACGUAGCGAAAGCUACGCUAAUACCGCAUACGAUCUGUGGAUGAAAGCGGGGGACCGUAAGGCCUCGCGCGAUUGGAGCGGCCGAUGUCAGAUUAGGUAGUUGGUGAGGUAAAGGCUCACCAAGCCGACGAUCUGUAGCUGGUCUGAGAGGACGACCAGCCACACUGGGACUGAGACACGGCCCAGACUCCUACGGGAGGCAGCAGUGGGGAAUUUUGGACAAUGGGCGCAAGCCUGAUCCAGCAAUGCCGCGUGCAGGAUGAAGGCCUUCGGGUUGUAAACUGCUUUUGUACGGGGCGAAAAGGCUUCAACUAAUACUGGGGGCUCAUGACGGUACCGUAAGAAUAAGCACCGGCUAACUACGUG